GCCGAUGUAGCUCAAUGGUAGAGCAAGGCUUUCGUAAAGCUUAGGUUGGUGGUUCAAUUCCACUCAUCGGCUCCA
This 75-nucleotide transfer RNA is filed under the name Candidatus Omnitrophota bacterium. Its description in RNAcentral is "Candidatus Omnitrophica bacterium tRNA-Thr". It matches the Rfam family "tRNA". From Rfam's summary of the family: Transfer RNA (tRNA) molecules are approximately 80 nucleotides in length. Lineage: Bacteria; Pseudomonadati; Candidatus Omnitrophota. The record is from RNAcentral.